This 1720-nucleotide long non-coding RNA is filed under the name Homo sapiens (human). RNAcentral's name for it is "HSALNT0300679". The record is from RNAcentral. Lineage: Eukaryota; Metazoa; Chordata; Mammalia; Primates; Hominidae.
CACACUUACACACUAAAACUCCCACAGAAAGGGGGAAAAUUAGAAAAGGGGUGAUAUAAUUUGACUCUGUGUCACCACCCAAAUCUCAUCUUGAAUUGUAAUCCCCGUAAUUUCUCACCUGGCAAGAGUGGGACCAGGUGGAGACAAUUGGAUCAUGGGGGCAGUUUUCCCCAUGCUCUUCUCGUGAUAAUGAUUGAGUCUCAUGGGAUCUGAUGAUUCUAUAAGUGUCUGGCUUUUCUCCUACUUGCACUCACUCCAUCCUGCCACCCUGCGAGGAAGGUGCCUGCUUCUUCUUUGCCUUCCGCCGUGAGUGUGAGUCUCCUGAGGCCUCCCCAGCAAUGUGGAACUGAUACGUCAUGGAACAGAGGGCAACCUGCCUCCUGGAAAUGUGGAGUGUCUAGGGAGUCACAGCUGAGAUCUUCCUUGGAUUAAAGGCUGCGGGUGUCACAAACAGACCUGAUUGAAAAUUCUUGAUCUGGCCACAUACCCUGUUUACAUUGAUGCAGAUUCAACUGGGUGAAAUAACUGUGAACUGGGCAUGUGAAGAGAAAGCUGAAAGCCAUGAUCUCAAGAUGGAAACUUCAGUAUCCAGCAAAGAAAUGGUGAAGGCGUUCGUUAUGUGGGAUAUGCUGUUACCACUGAACUUGAAGUUAUCAAAGAAGUUCUAUUCUUAACCCUUAAUCUGCUCAGGAAAACAUUCUUGCUAAAAAAAGAUUGUUGGGACUUACCAAGGUGGCUGAAUAGGAACAGCUUCUGUCUGCAGCUCCCAGGGAGAUGAAUGCAGAAGGACGUGAGUCUUCACAACCUGCUAAAAAUGAACUUUCAGGACCUACCCAUCUAGGAAUAAGCCAUCCUAGCCAUGAGCGAUCAGAGACCAGAGACUCAUUUUUUUGUAAAAUGCUUUCUCCAAAAGACUUUUAAAAAGAAAAGGGGGGAAAUGUGAAAAGAAAAUAUUUUGGGCCCUCAAAAUCCCUAAGGAAAACUCAAGCUAGAAACUGCUUAAGGCAAUCCUGACUCCUAUUCUAUUCAAAGUUAACCCUCUCCUCACUGAGAUGGAUGCAUAUCUGAUUGCCUCCAUUGGAAAGGCUAAUCAGAAACUCAAAAGAAUGUCUCACCUAUCUGCCACCUGGAAGCUCCCUCCUGUUUCCAGUUUUCCUGACUUUACUUCAAGUUUUCCCACCUUUCCAGACUGCACCAAUGUACUUCUUACAUAUUAAUUGAUGUCUCAUGUUUCCCUUAAAAUGUAUAAAACCAAGCUGUGCCCUGACCACCUUGCGCACAUGUUGUCAGGACAUCCUGAGGUUGUGUCACAGGUUCAUCCUCAACCUUGGCAAAAUAAACUUUCUAAAUUAACUGAGACCUGUCUCAGAUUUUCUGGAUUCUCAGUGUCAAGUUGUGUCACACUUGGAUAUUCAGUGAAAGCUUCUUAAAAAUGUUGACUGAGUUGAGUCUUCAAAAAUUUUCCAACUUACUUACUGAAAGAAGGAAAGAAAGACUAUCCCAGACAAUAUUAUUAUGCUUUUCCUUUACACUUGCAAAUACUUCUCUUAACCUUAUUGUCUUGAUAUCUUAACCAUGACCUUGGACAACAAACUAUAGCAGUCUUGACAACUGAUAGCUUAUACAAGUGUUUAUAACAUCAGCAUCUCCUAAAAUAAAAAGUCUGAGAUUUUACAAAUAAGUAAAUUCCUUUCUGUUUCAAAGCUCUUUAAUAGUCACC